RNAcentral lists this long non-coding RNA (336 nucleotides) under Cricetulus griseus (Chinese hamster). Its description in RNAcentral is "lncRNA (ENSCGRG00000025467.1)". Lineage: Eukaryota; Metazoa; Chordata; Mammalia; Rodentia; Cricetidae. The record is from RNAcentral.
AAGAAGACAGACUAGAUGCAGUUAAGGUUUAUUCACAGUGUUGGACACCCCCUCUGGAAACUUGGGUUGGGUACCAGCAGUGACUCCACUAUGUGAAGACCCAGGAGGCCUCAUGUGAAGCAGAUGAAAGUCUGAGAAGGUUUGCCUGUCUCUCAGAGCCAGGACCACUGUGGAGCAACAGCUCUGUUUCACACACUUUCUUCUGCCCCAUGGCUCUGCUUCCCUUGCAAUGCUGGGUUUAGGUUGCUGAAGGUUCUUCACAGAGGAAAUUUGAAUAGAGCAGCUUACAUUUACUGUCAAUCAGAAUCACCAUGGAGCUCCUGGGGCACAUUCUAC